CAGCAGCCGCGGGAAUACAGAGGGUGAGAGCGUUAAUCGGAUUUACUGGGCGUAAAGCGUGCGUAGGCGGCUUCUUAAGUCGGAUGUGAAAUCCCUGAGCUUAACUUAGGAAUUGCAUUCGAUACUGGGAAGCUAGAGUAUGGGAGAGGAUGGUAGAAUUCCAGGUGUAGCGGUGAAAUGCGUAGAGAUCUGGAGGAAUACCGAUGGCGAAGGCAGCCAUCUGGCCUAAUACUGACGCUGAGGUACGAAAGCAUGGGGAGCAAACAGGAUUAGAUACCCCUGUAGUCCCUGUCUCUUAUAC
This 301-nucleotide ribosomal RNA is filed under the name uncultured bacterium. Its description in RNAcentral is "partial 16S ribosomal RNA". It matches the Rfam family "Bacterial small subunit ribosomal RNA", at positions 509 to 807 of the family's 1533-position model. The record is from RNAcentral.